UAGAAGUUCCGUAUAGCUUCC
RNAcentral lists this non-coding RNA (21 nucleotides) under Caenorhabditis elegans. The record is from RNAcentral. Lineage: Eukaryota; Metazoa; Nematoda; Chromadorea; Rhabditida; Rhabditidae.